Molecule: long non-coding RNA, 2804 nt
Organism: Diabrotica virgifera virgifera (western corn rootworm)
Lineage: Eukaryota; Metazoa; Arthropoda; Insecta; Coleoptera; Chrysomelidae
Exons: 2
Source: RefSeq, a predicted model, not a curated record
UAAGAAUUAGUCUGUGUGUACUAGGAUUUAGUGAAUACGUGGGUUCGAAGUUGUUGUUCGGUACGUGGCCAGUGCUGUUCGAUUAAAUUUCGUAAUCUAUGUCUUUCAUGGCAGAGUACACAGAUGUUUAUUCGUCAUAACCAAGUUCAAUCAUGAAAUGAUUGAUCCUUUUUUGUUGGAUAAUGAGAACCAUUUUUAGUGUAAUUAUCUAAUUAUUCCAGUUACCUUGUUACAGGUUGAUAGGGAAGUUUAUUUAGUUUAUAUUAUGUCUCUUAUUCAUAGAGUUUGUGCUUUGACUAUCCCUAUACCUAGCAAGUUCAUUUGAUUCCAUAUUUAGGGUAUUUAGACAGAUGAGUUGUUAUUGUCAUUAUAUUGUUACUUCUUUCCUUAGGCAAAAGUUGUUGUUUAGAUUCAGGUAUAUUUCCUAGAUAAUCCUACAUAUGUGAGAACAUAUCAUAAAUCUACAGUUUUAUUUAAAAUUGUUUGCUUGUUCUCGACAUUUUUCUGUUACCCAGAUAGUGGUAUCACAGAACAGAAUAUUAGUUCACCACUUUAUUUUUACUUAUUAUUGUGUCUGGUUAUUGGUAUACAUCUGCUGUAGCAACAUGCUAUAACUAGCGAAUACCAGCACGAAUCAAUUUUAUUUAGUCACCGAAUUCCUUUAGUCGAUAUACUUUAGGUAUUUAUCUUAUUAUCGGUUUAAUUGAUUACAUCUCUGUUGGUUAGUAUGGAUAAGUGUGACAUACAUUACCUCACACUUUGUUCAUUUUUUUUUUGUUUAUUAGAUUUGGUUCAUGGAUGCUAUGGUAACUCGAUAUAAGGAUGGAAUCGAUCUAUGGCUGUCCUUUUGUUCGAAACCAUAAAUUCUAUAUCUAUAUCCAAUAGAUUAGUUUGGUAUAAGGUUUAGGUAGACCUAAGUUAUUUAUUUUAUAUAGUGUUAAUGAGAAUUGGUCCAUAAAUCUUCCUGAUCGUUCUUCUCUGGAUAUGCUUUUAUGAAUCUGGUGUCCAUUGUUAGUCCGAUUUUGGAUAGCGUCCGAUUGCUCUUAUUUUGUGUUAAUUAUUUCCUUGUAAUAUUAGUAUUAUUUGGUAUUAGUGAGAAUUGUUCCAAAAAUCUUCCUGGUUGCUCUUCUCUGGAUAUGCUGUUAUAAAUCUGGUGUCCAUUGUGAGUUCAAUUUUGGAUUAAGUGUUCAAUUCUUCAUUUCCUUUAGUCAAUCAUUACUAUGAUUUUAUUUUAGUAUAGCUACUAGUUCCUUAUUGUGCGAAUUGGAUCACAUUUUGCCUGGUUGUUCGUCCUUGGAUAUGCCAUCAUAAAUUUGAUGUCCAUGGAUAUUUCAAUUUUGGACCUAGUGCCCAAUUCGACACUUAUUUGUCACUAUAAAUUUAUUACUAUAAUCGAGUCAAUGUUUUGGUUUCUUCACUAAUGGUUUAUACAGACAUUUAAUAUGACUUUGAGUCAUCUUAUGGAAUCUGAAGAAGUCCAUACUUUUUCUUGAUAAAAUUGUCUUAAUCUUGUUAAUCAAUGUGUAAUGAAGAAAUAGACCACUAUGGUUAGUGAUAUAUUAAGUUUAGAAAAAAAAAAUUUUUGUACCUAAAAUUUUUUUUUCAUCAAGUUGGAGGGGAAUGUAACGGAACGUUACUUAAUGAAAAUAUUUUAAUUAAAAAUCAAUAAUUUAAUAUUUAUAAAAUGCUACUUUUCCAUCUUGCAACACCGCCAACACUGGACAUUAGUUCCACGAGUAGCCGCUGUCGCAAGUAUCAAGAAGAACUGUCAAAAUUUUAAAAAGUUUGACUGUUAGCUGAACCUCCAAAUAAAUAAGUUCCAAGUGGUCGGUGGCUUUUUGAACAAAAAAAGGAAUCACCUUUUAGUUAUUUUUUUUUUAUACGGAAGCUAUCGUAAUUAAGUUGAAGGAGGAGAAAGUUUUGUUUUGUUGAAGAAGAAAAGUAUUAAUUUGGUAAAAAUUUGGGAUGAUUGCUAUCGGCCACUUGGAACCACUGGAAUAUUCAUCCCACUAACAUCAGGGAUGAAAUAAAAAAAAUCUUUAGCGCAGUCACGGGGUAGCCUAGGAGCUGGAAUCGUCUUUUGAGUUGGUUUUUGGACUAUCAUUAUUUUGUUUGGAACUUUGGAAAAGACUUUACGUUAGUUGGUGUUGGACAGUGAUUAAGUAUUUUUUUUUUAUUAUUAUUUUCAAGAACAUUAAUUUUUUCUAAAUAAUUGGAACAUUCAAUAUCUAUUAAAAAUAUAAAAUUAAAUAAGUUUACAUUAUACUCCACUAAGUUAUUCAUAAUUUUUUCAAACAAAAACAAAAGAAAUAAUUUAAAUAUUUUCAAUUUUUAAUAAUAAAUAAUACCUCCUCUUCAAGGCUUCAAAUUUGCAUUUUUCUAAUAAAUUAAUUUCUUUUGUUUCUUUUCUCACGUGUAAAGGUAAUUGAGCUCAACUAUCCGGAGAAAAUUUGGUAAAUUUUUUAUAUAUUAUAAUUACUGAACCUUGGCUUUUGUCCUCCUCAGGGUAAUUGACCAUUUAACUUGUUUUUUUUUAUUAUUGUAACCGCACAUGAAGUUAGAGUUUUACCUCGAGUAGUGUGUCGGUUCAUUUUUGUACCAUAAAUUGGAUUUGACAUUUCAAACCAAUUUUUAGGGGUGGACUUUGUUCCUCUUUUGUUUAAACUACUCUGUAGACUGUAAAUUGUACAUACUUUAUUAGUAAAAUAUUUUUUAUUAAUUUUAGGGUAUACCUUGUUGGUACAUAUACGAAUUUUUUGUACAUAUAAGUAAAAGCUAAAUACACUAUUGAUUGGGUUGUAUAA